UACGUAGGGUGCGAGCGUUGUCCGGAAUUACUGGGCGUAAAGAGCUCGUAGGCGGUUUGUCGCGUUGUCCGUGAAAACUCACAACUCAAUUGUGGGCGUGCGGGCGAUACGGGCAGACUGGAGUACUGCAGGGGAGACUGGAAUUCCUGGUGUAGCGGUGGAAUGCGCAGAUAUCAGGAGGAACACCGGUGGCGAAGGCGGGUCUCUGGGCAGUAACUGACGCUGAGGAGCGAAAGCGUGGGGAGCAAACAGG
Molecule: ribosomal RNA, 253 nt
Filed under: uncultured bacterium
Lineage: Bacteria
Description: partial 16S ribosomal RNA
Rfam family: Bacterial small subunit ribosomal RNA
Source: RNAcentral